Molecule: transfer RNA, 67 nt
Filed under: Dinocras cephalotes
Lineage: Eukaryota; Metazoa; Arthropoda; Insecta; Plecoptera; Perlidae
Description: tRNA-Gly
Source: RNAcentral
GUUUAUCUAGUAUAUAAGUAUACCUGACUUCCAAUCAGGGGGCCUGAAUGAAUAUUCAGGAUAAACA